Molecule: ribosomal RNA, 393 nt
Filed under: uncultured bacterium
Lineage: Bacteria
Description: partial 16S ribosomal RNA
Rfam family: Bacterial small subunit ribosomal RNA
Source: RNAcentral
AUACGGAGGAUCCGAGCGUUAUCCGGAUUUAUUGGGUUUAAAGGGAGCGUAGGCGGACUAUUAAGUCAGCUGUGAAAGUUUGCGGCUCAACCGUAAAAUUGCAGUUGAUACUGGUCGUCUUGAGUGCAGUAGAGGUAGGCGGAAUUCGUGGUGUAGCGGUGAAAUGCUUAGAUAUCACGAAGAACUCCGAUUGCGAAGGCAGCUUACUGGACUGUAACUGACGCUGAUGCUCGAAAGUGUGGGUAUCAAGCAGGAUUAGAUACCCUGGUAGUCCACACAGUAAACGAUGAAUACUCGCUGUUUGCGAUAUACGGCAAGCGGCCAAGCGAAAGCAUUAAGUAUUCCACCUGGGGAGUACGCCGGCAACGGUGAAACUCAAAUGAAUUGACGGGG